RNAcentral lists this long non-coding RNA (1098 nucleotides) under Cyanistes caeruleus (blue tit). RNAcentral describes it as "lncRNA (ENSCCEG00000001160.1)". Lineage: Eukaryota; Metazoa; Chordata; Aves; Passeriformes; Paridae. The record is from RNAcentral.
UGUGUGUGUGUGUGUGCACAGGGAUGUGUGUGUGUGAGCACAGGUGUGUGUGUCUGUGUGUCUAUGUGUCUCUGUGUCUGUGUGUGCGUGUGCACAGGGAUGUGUGUGUGUUUCUGUCUGUCUGUGUGCAGCUGUUGUACACUGUGAGGAUGGCUGAGGUGCUGAGGAAGGGUUGUGUGUGUUGUGCACAGUUCACCAAUGAGCCUGCCUGUGUGAGGUUGAGAACGGCUGCAACUGUGUGUGAGCAGCUGUGAAGAGCGGUUUGGCUGUACACAGAUACAGCUACACGUAGCUACAGCUCUGAGUGUGCAAUGUUACACACAGCUCUGUGUGUGUGCACUGUUACACACAGCUCUGUGUGUGUGCACUGUUACACAGCUCUGUGUGUGCACUGUUACACAGCUCUGUGUGUGUGCACUGUUACACAGCUCUGUGUGUGUGCACUGUUACACACAGCUCUGUGUGUGUGUGCACUGUUACACAGCUCUGUGUGUGCACUGUUACACAGCUCUGUGUGUGCACUGUUACACACAGCUCUGUGUGUGUGCACUGUUACACAGCUCUGUGUGUCUGCACUGUUACACAGCUCUGUGUGUGUGCACUGUUACACACAGCUCUGUGUGUGUGCACUGUUACACACAGCUCUGUGUGUGCACUGUUACACACAGCUCUGUGUGUGUGCACUAUUACACACAGCUCUGUGUGUGCACUGUUACACAGCUCUGUGUGUGUGCACUGUUACACACAGCUCUGUGUGUGUGCACUGUUACACAGCUCUGUGUGUGCACUGUUACACAGCUCUGUGUGUGAGCACUGUUACACAGCUCUGUGUGUGUGCACUGUUACACAGCUCUGUGUGUGCACUGUUACACAGCUCUGUGUGCUUGUACAGGGCUGUGCACGCCCCUGUGAGGCUGUUUGGGGCUGUACACACCCUGUUUAAGGCUGUACCGCUCUGCCCGGGGUUUUCCUGCUGCGAGGCAGCAGCGACUGUGGGAAAACUGCCGGCGUUGGGAUGCGGGGUGGCAGCCGGGCCCCGCAGCCCCUGCCCACCCCCAAUUAGCGCCCCCCCAAAUCAUCCCAGACGCGGAAACAGAA